Molecule: ribosomal RNA, 253 nt
Filed under: uncultured bacterium
Lineage: Bacteria
Description: partial 16S ribosomal RNA
Rfam family: Bacterial small subunit ribosomal RNA
Source: RNAcentral
UACGUAGGGGGCAAGCGUUAUCCGGAAUUACUGGGUGUAAAGGGUGAGUAGGCGGCAUGGUAAGCCAGAUGUGAAAGCCUUGGGCUUAACCCGAGGAUUGCAUUUGGAACUAUCAAGCUAGAGUACAGGAGAGGAAAGCGGAAUUCCUAGUGUAGCGGUGAAAUGCGUAGAUAUUAGGAAGAACACCAGUGGCGAAGGCGGCUUUCUGGACUGAAACUGACGCUGAGGCUCGAAAGCGUGGGGAGCGAACAGG